GAAGAAGAAGAAGUUUUGAAACAGAAAACAGCUAAUGUAGAGUCUGGACGUAUCUGGUGGAGUUUUAUCUUUUUGUCUCUGUUGUUGGCCGCACAUGAUCAGGCUUUCUACAAACAUGUCUAAAGGCCAACAGCUGAGGGACAGGCUGAAACAAUUGCCAACAGCUGAUGAUGAAGUAUUUGAGUUGUUAGGAUUGAUUGCACAGUAUGAAGAAGAAAUUAAUCAUUUAAAAGAAGAGGACAAAGGAUUGAAAAUUCUGGAAGCUGCUUUUAAUCCUCAAGUCCGCUAGUACAAUGCAGGAAAGGGUCACUGUAGUCUGUUCUGUUAAUGGAUGUCCUUCAGUCAUUCCCCAGCAGCUGGAGACCAUGGCACCACCUACAAGGAGGAGUAUGACCCAGCAGCCGACACCUCCAGUCACGAGGCCUCCACCGGUUGCCAUGACGACGUCCGCCUCUUGUGUUCCUUGGUUUCCCGAUCAACAGCUCCCACCAGGGCAUUUGGAUCUAAAUUAAACAAGAGAACUAAUCGUAGAAUGACAAUGAUUAAUCUUCUCUUACAUAACACUUUGAUAUGGGCACAUUUACCCAUUUUUCUUCACCUUGAUAGAGUAUACUAACAGUUGCAUCAUUCCCUUGAGCUAUAAUUUCUGCCGCUUUA
Thalassophryne amazonica is the source of this 657-nucleotide long non-coding RNA. RefSeq lists it as uncharacterized. The transcript is spliced from 3 exons. Lineage: Eukaryota; Metazoa; Chordata; Actinopteri; Batrachoidiformes; Batrachoididae. The record is from RefSeq and is a predicted model, not a curated record.